CAAAAGGGAAGGCCUGACUCUCUUUGAUCUGACUAUAUGUUAAAGCCAUAUAGUCAGAUCCCAACAUAUAGAUUACGACCCCAACAUGCAGCAUAAUUCUUCCCAAUUAAUUCAAACUAAAUCACAAAUAAUUUAAAUCUUUACUGUUUGUUAACCAGUACAGAAUGUAAUGAUACAUACAUGUAGGUGCAAGGGAACAAGAUGUGACGUUAAUGAAUAAUUAAUUAAUUAUUAUCAUUAUUAUAAUUUUUUAUAACACUGCUGUAGUUUAUUUCAAAAUGAUCAUAUAGAACUUACCAACACUGGAGAGGCACAGAUGAUAACAAAAUAAGGAACUACAUAGAAAACAACUUCAAGGUACGUUUGUGUUUUUACUUUGCAACAAACCGAAGUAGAAGUAAAAGAGCACUGUCAGGUACAUACUGUUGGCCUAAAUAGGUCAUUGAAAAAUUUGAGAUGAUGAAAUUAUGAUAUGACGAGGUCAUCUUGUCAUAUUACAGUUACUGAUAGGUCUGUCGUUCAAAUGUUUAAGCAGCCAAAAGAACACAUUCCCCAAUACUCAAAUUCUGAGAGAGCUCAGUGACAAAAUUGAAAACCUGCAAGUUCAACGUCAAUAGUUCUGCUGUCCUCGAUUGAGCAAUAACGGGGGUUCAGAUGGCUCUCCUAGGAUCCAAAUAAAAAGAUGUCUAUAACAUUUUCAGUCGAAUUAAAUAUUCCUAAUGAGGUUGUGGUGACUAGUCUUCAAUGGGUUCCAAUGAAAUGAUCUGCUCGUGUAUUUCUUUACUUCAAGACGUUUUGGCCGGAUUAGAUAUUUGGAUCUGACUCCUUUGAAGUUAGACCCACAGGACCACAGAAUUGGAGACACAAAACUGUCCAGCCAGUGUUUUCUCCUCAGAAUUAAAUAUGGCAUCUCAGACAUCACCAGUUGUUUGCGUGCUGCAAAAUGCGACCAGACGCAGUACAUCCUGGUAUUUGUGGCAAACUGUAUUUGAUAUACAAUGUAUUAGGACAUACUAGAUAUUUUUCUGGCAUAUUAAUAGAAUGGAGGUAUGGUUAUUGGAACACACAUACAUAAACCUUCACUAAACCACUGAACUGAUCAGUGUUUAGUAAAAGAAUGCAACACAAAUGAGCUUUUAUGUUGGUGGUUUGGGAGUUGAUCAACAAAUCCACUAAAAGAGGAGAUGUUAGUUUCCACAACUCUGCACUACUACAUGCAUGUGAGAUAAAAUAAACCCAAGUAAGUGUGCAACAAAGUAAAGCACAUGAUGACCCUCAAAAUGCUGUGUGAUAAAUUACAGCGAGCAUAACAUCAUUCAAAUCUACAAUAGUAGCCAGUUUGGCUCUGUGUUCAAUAGAUCGUUCUGUUAUGAGACACUUUGCCCAACAACACAUGUACCCAUUUGAAAACAUGACAACAAUUGUACUGUAUGACUGAGAAUCACACAUUUUUAUUACACCUUCAAAUCGAACAAUGGCGCACUUGCUACCAUGCCAAUGUCAUGAGAACUGGGGCGACUGUGGCAAAGUGGAGAGCAGGGCCGUCCUUCAAUCAGAGGAUCAGCGGUUCAAACCCUGGCUCAGGCUCCACUAGUUUCAUGUAUGUUGAUGUGUCCUUGAGCAAGACACUUAACCCCAAAAAUUGCUCCUGUAGCUGUGCCUAUGGUGUAGAAUUGUGAUAGAAUCUGAACUGUAAGUUGCUUCGGAUAAAAGUGUAUGCUAAAUAACUGUAAUGUAAUGAUUUCCUGGCUUCAGGUGAUACAAUGUGGUUAUACAGUACAUACUGUAUAACCACUUUACUCAAGAAAGGUAAUUUCAUGGGAGUUAUUCAAUCUAAGUCACACACAAUUUAACUUGUGAUUAUGAACUGUUGUUGAGAGGCAAGUAAAGGUUCUGAGUUUUAGGUGAUAUGUCUCGGCUUCAGGGCUGGUGUUAACAUUGAAAAUGGAGUCAAGGAGAGGGAUAUCUUCUUAAAGACAUUAACAAACCUACGCUCCGUCUCUUUCUGGGCAGGCUGAAAUGGGGGAAACACACACUGCAAUGAAGAAGAUGUAGGUCUAAGAGUAUUAUUGUAAGUUUAUCCUGUUUUUAAAACAGGCAAAAGCUGUAGCUGGUUUCACUGAUAAAAACCUCCAUAUUUUUUGGCUUUUAGUGAUACAUAGAUUCCACUCCCCAUUUAAAAAUGCUGUCCAGGGUCAGUAAAAGAUAUGUUGCUAUGUUGAUGAGAGUUCUGAGAGAUGCCAGGUGAUUGGUUAAUGACCUUGAUUGCUGAUUGACAGCACCUGUGAGGAGGCUGUGUGUUGAGUCUUGUGGUGUAUAAAACAGCAUCUUGACUAUUGCUCUAGACUGACCUGCUCUCUCAUUCGAAACAGCAGCGAUCUGUAAAGUUGCAGCUGACAUCUGUAUCCAGAAUGGCCGCAAAGAAAGUGUUGAUCGUGUAUGCCCACCAGAGCACUGGCUCAUUCAACGCUGCAUGCAGCCAAAGAUGCUGCUGUAGAAGUUUUAGCAGGUCAGGGCUGCACGGUGGCCGUAUCGGACCUGUACGCCAUGACGUUUAAAGCCACUGCUACUGAUGAGGACAUCACUGGAGAAGUCAAGAAUGCCGAUCACUUCCGUUAUGCAGAGGAGACUAAACUGGCAUGGGAGGAAGGAAAACUAUGUGCUGACAUCACUGAGGAACAAUCAUCUUUCAGUUCCCCAUGUACUGGUUCACUGUUCCUGCCAUCAUGAAGGGCUGGAUCAACUGGGUGCUCACACUGGGCUAUGCCUACUCUCAAGAAAAGAGAUGCAGCCAGGGAAUCUUCAAGGACAAGAAAGCAAUGCUGUCCUUCACCACUGGGUCUCAUGAGUCCAUGUUUAGUGCAGAUGGUAUUAAUGGCAACAUGAAUGUCGCACUGUGGCCACUACAGGUACUGAAUCAGAAUAUUGCUUCAACUCGGCGUUAAAGAUCCAGAGUGUAGGAUUUGGGAGUUUAAUGGCAUGGAAUAUAUAUUAAUCCUGAUGUUUCUGUAUUUCCUUGCGUGACAGAAAAAUAAAGGCUGACUUGACUUA
Molecule: long non-coding RNA, 3051 nt
Organism: Anarrhichthys ocellatus (wolf-eel)
Lineage: Eukaryota; Metazoa; Chordata; Actinopteri; Perciformes; Anarhichadidae
Exons: 5
Source: RefSeq, a predicted model, not a curated record